Molecule: ribosomal RNA, 498 nt
Filed under: uncultured bacterium
Lineage: Bacteria
Description: partial 16S ribosomal RNA
Rfam family: Bacterial small subunit ribosomal RNA
Source: RNAcentral
GACGAACGCUGGCGGCGUGCCUAAUACAUGCAAGUCGAACGAAAGCAACCGGUGCUUGCCCUGCUCAAUCUAGUGGCGAACGGGUGAGUAACACGUGGAUAACCUGCCCAUCAGAGGGGGAUAACAUCCGGAAACGGCUGCUAAAACCGCAUAAGUCUUCGAACCGCAUGGUUUGAAGAGGAAAAGGGCCUCAAGCUUCUGCUGAUGACUGGACCCGCGAUGCAUUAGCUAGUUGCUAAGGUAACGGCUCACCAAGGCCGUGAUGCAUAGCCGACCUGCGAGGGUGAUUAGGCACAGUGGCACUGAGACACGGCCCAUACUCCUACGGGAGGCAGCAGUAGGGACUAUUCUCAAAUGGGCGUAAGUCUGACGGAGCAAUACCGCGUGAGUGAAGAAGGUUUUCGGCGCGUAAAGCUCUUUUGCUGGAGAAGAACAAUUGCGAGAGGAACCCUCCGGGACGUGACGGUACCUAACCAGAAAGCAACGGCUAACUACGUG